AACCCAGUAUGUCUCUUACUGGUACUCUACUUUUAAAGUAUUGAGAGGCAGGGUGACUAUUUGAUCCUCUCCCUAACUCCAAGUGUCCUAGCUGGGAGAGAGGCUUUGCUGUAUGAUGUGCUAGUUUGAUCAGGCUGUUGUGACAAAAGACACAACAAUCCAAGAGGCUCACCAGCAACUAAAGCUUUAAUAAGUUUCUUUGGCGGGAAGUCCAAGACGAAGGCGCCAGCAAAUUUGGUGUCUACCGACAGCCUGCUUCCUGUUUCAUUGGUCUCAGGAUCCAUACCCAGCAUUUUGUCCCCUGCACUCUGUGCUACAGAGCCAAGGUCCACAUUGCCUGAUACAAGCGGAGUCAAUGCCGGCUGCUGCCACAACAUUCACUGUAGUGAUAUUCUCAGUGUCUUAAGACGGAGCUUCAUUCCUUAAUUUGAAACGUUCCAAGGCAUGGUCGGGUCCCUUUAAUGUGCCAUACAUGUGCGCUAUGGGCAGUUAGCAGAUAAAAAUGGACAAAGCACAAUUAUCUCCAGUGCGGAGAGAGAACAGAACUUUUCAGAGGUUUAAUGACAGCUGGAGCCAGAUAUGUGCCUGCAGACCUUUCCCCCUUUGGCUUCUCAAAGUACCAAGCACUUUAAAGUUAAUGGCACAGUUGCGGAUCAAAGGAAGACAUUUGUCAAGACUCACCAAGAAAGCGCUCCGUACCAUCAACAAGAGCAGAGCUGAUGUUGGGGUCUGGGCUUACCACUUUUCUGGUUAGAACUUAAAUCCUGUACUUGGGCAA
Long non-coding RNA from Rattus norvegicus (Norway rat), 778 nucleotides. RefSeq lists it as uncharacterized. The record is from RefSeq and is a predicted model, not a curated record. Lineage: Eukaryota; Metazoa; Chordata; Mammalia; Rodentia; Muridae.